RNAcentral lists this ribosomal RNA (497 nucleotides) under uncultured bacterium. RNAcentral describes it as "partial 16S ribosomal RNA". It matches the Rfam family "Bacterial small subunit ribosomal RNA", at positions 28 to 507 of the family's 1533-position model. The record is from RNAcentral.
GAUGAACGCUGGCGGCGUGCCUAAUACAUGCAAGUCGAGCGAACAGAUGAGGAGCUUGCUCCUCUGACGUUAGCGGCGGACGGGUGAGUAACACGUGGAUAACCUACCUAUAAGACUGGGAUAACUUCGGGAAACCGGAGCUAAUACCGGAUAAUAUAUUGAACCGCAUGGUUCAAUAGUGAAAGACGGUUUUGCUGUCACUUAUAGAUGGAUCCGCGCCGCAUUAGCUAGUUGGUAAGGUAACGGCUUACCAAGGCAACGAUGCGUAGCCGACCUGAGAGGGUGAUCGGCCACACUGGAACUGAGACACGGUCCAGACUCCUACGGGAGGCAGCAGUAGGGAAUCUUCCGCAAUGGGCGAAGGCCUGACGGAGCAACGCCGCGUGAGUGAUGAAGGUCUUCGGAUCGUAAAACUCUGUUAUUAGGGAAGAACAAAUGUGUAAGUAACUAUGCACGUCUUGACGGUACCUAAUCAGAAAGCCACGGCUAACUACGUG